This 199-nucleotide ribosomal RNA is filed under the name uncultured bacterium. Its description in RNAcentral is "partial 16S ribosomal RNA". It matches the Rfam family "Bacterial small subunit ribosomal RNA", at positions 521 to 719 of the family's 1533-position model. The record is from RNAcentral.
UAAUACGGAGGGUGCAAACGUUGCUCGGAAUCAUUGGGCGUAAAGCGCACGUAGGCGGUUCAGUAUGUCGGGUGUGAAAGCCCUCGGCUUAACCGAGGAAGUGCAUUCGAAACUGCUGGACUUGAAUACUGGAGAGGAUCGCGGAAUUCCCGGUGUAGAGGUGAAAUUCGUAGAUAUCGGGAGGAACACCAGUGGCGAA